Fukomys damarensis (Damara mole-rat) is the source of this 331-nucleotide unclassified non-coding RNA. Its record names the gene 7SK. It matches the Rfam family "7SK RNA". From Rfam's summary of the family: 7SK was discovered as an abundant small nuclear RNA in the mid-70s but a possible function has only recently been suggested. Two independent studies have found that 7SK RNA binds the CDK9/cyclin T complex (known as elongation factor P-TEFb). Lineage: Eukaryota; Metazoa; Chordata; Mammalia; Rodentia; Bathyergidae. The record is from Ensembl.
GGAUGUGAGGGCAAUCUGGCUGUGACAUCUGUCACCCCAUUAAUCGCCAGGGUUGAUUCAGCUGAUCUGGCUGGUUAGGUGGGUGUCCCCUUCCUCCCUCACAGCUCCAUGUGCAUUCCUCCCGAAGCUGCGCACUGGGGCACUCAGUCAAAGAGUACAACCACCCCCGAUACAGGAGGAUUGUUUCCUUGGUCAAGAGUAUACAAGUAGCUGUACUCCCCUGCUAGAACCUCCAAACAAGUUCUCAAGAAUUUGAACAUUUAUUGGUUAGAAAGAGAACGCAAACAAGCAAAUAAGGAACCAGCAUAGGGAAAAUACUGGAAAGUAUUAU